This 126-nucleotide small nucleolar RNA is filed under the name Castor canadensis (American beaver). The record is from RNAcentral. Lineage: Eukaryota; Metazoa; Chordata; Mammalia; Rodentia; Castoridae.
AUGUAAACUCAAUGAACAUUAGGACUAGCUCUGCCUGAUGUGGGACCAGGUUUGCUAAAGUAAUUGUGGUGAUAGGAAUGUAUUAGCCUCAGAAGCUACUGAGCACAAUGCAAGUGAAAAAAAAAA